This 1769-nucleotide long non-coding RNA is filed under the name Ananas comosus (pineapple). Its description in RNAcentral is "long non-coding RNA (ACOM_LNC040084)". Lineage: Eukaryota; Viridiplantae; Streptophyta; Magnoliopsida; Poales; Bromeliaceae. The record is from RNAcentral.
GAGAGAGAGAGAGAGAGAGAGAGAGAGAGAGAGAGAGAGAGAGAGAGAGAGAAGAGAGAGAGAGAGAGAGAGAGUUAGACUGGAAUACUAUUGAUAGCAAUUUUUUUUUUCUAUUAAGUUUUUAACCCUUAAAUGAAAAAUUGUAAGAUUAGGAUGAUAUUAGUCCUUCAGGGUUGAGUGACACUUCUAAGGUUGAGUGGUCUCAACUGGAUUAUAAUAUUUAAUCCAAUGGUUAGAAAUGAUGAAAGUAAUUGAUCCAAAGGUUAAAAACUUGAUUGUAAAAAAGGUAUUUUGCUAUCAAUAGUAUUCAAGCCUAGCUUUCUCUCUCUCUCUAUAUAUAUAUAUAUAUAGAGAGAGAGAGAGAGAGAGAGAGUAGGACUACUAUACUCUUAUGAGUAUAGAGCCCUUCGUACUCAUAAGUUGUUUUCGAUGUUGGGCUUUUCGAAUCGACGAUCCAUACCGUUAAACAUGAUCUAGAGUAUUUAAAACUUUUAGAAAAUAAAUUUCGUAAUUUUUCAAAACCAUUAUAAAGUUAAUCAAGCGGGUAUAAAAUGAAUGGUUAAAAUCGAACGAUAUCCUAAAUAUGGAUGAUCGGAUCCUUCAAUUUAAGAUCGGAGUUAUUGAUCUUUAUUUAGGUAGUGAAUAGAAUUUUCUAUCAAAAAUUCAACCUAUUCCGAUUCUUUUUCACCGUUAAACUAGCAAAUAUCUUAUACCGGCCGUUAAAAAUUGUCAAUUUUGUGAGCUUUUGAUCGUAAGGUAAAUGAUAUCGAAAAAUUAUAAAAUUUGAUUUCUAGAAGUUUUAAAUGCUCUAGAUAAUAUUUAACGGUACGAUCGUCGAUUCGGAAGUUCUAUCAUCGAAAACAACUUAUGAGUACGAUCUAUAUAUAUAUGAUUUUUUUUCACCGUUAAACUAGCAAAUAUCUCAUACCGGCCGUUAAAAAUUGUCAAUUUUGUGAGCUUUUGAUCGUAAGGUAAAUGAUAUCAUUACAACAAAAACGGUCUAUAGUGACACUUUUAAAUAUAGGUACAGGUCAAAAAAAAUGCUGCUGACUAAAUUACCGACACUUUUAAAAAGUGUUGCUAUAUGUGGGGUCGCUAGGUAUAUAGUGACAGUUAAAAAGUGUCGCUAUCAGCUAAAAAGCGUGCUGCUAAUUUACCAACACUUAUUUAAGUAUUUAGCAACCGCCGGAACUCUACCUCGUUGCUGCGGUGGCGGAGGAGGAGGAGAGGGAAGGGCUCUUCAUCUAAAAUUUCAGUGGAUUGAGUGAGGAGAGAAGGGGAGAUGGUAAUCGAUUUUUCUUUUUUUUUUUCUGUUUGUAAUCAGGCUAAACGGGCUGGAUGGGGUGGGUUGAGUAGAGUAAUUUUUUUAUUUUUAGUUGGAUUGGGCUUUAUAUUUAGGCAUUAGUAUAUUUUAUAUAUAUAUAUAUAUAUACUAUAAGAAUUAUACUUAAUAUAGAGAGAUAAAAGAGAGAGACGAAAGAGAGAGAGAUCUAUGCUGGAAUACUAUUGAUGGCAAAUGAUCAUUUUUGCUAUCAAGAUUUUAACCCUUGGAUAAAAAAUUGUAGGGUUAUGAUGAUAUUAGUCCCUUAUAAUUGAGUGGUCCCCCUAGGGUUGAGUAAUCCCCACUGGAUUAUAAUAUUUAAUCAAAUGGUUAGAAAUAAUGAACGGAAUUGAUUUAAAGGCUAAAAACUUGAUAGCAAAAAAUAUCUUUUUCUAUCAAUAGUAUUCUAGCCCAACUCUCUCUCUCUCUCUCUCUCUCUCUCUCUAUA